Molecule: ribosomal RNA, 303 nt
Filed under: uncultured bacterium
Lineage: Bacteria
Description: partial 16S ribosomal RNA
Rfam family: Bacterial small subunit ribosomal RNA
Source: RNAcentral
AGCAGUCGCCACGGGAAUACAGAGGGUGCGAGCGUUAAUCGGAUUUACUGGGCGUAAAGCGUGCGUAGGCGGCUUUUUAAGUCGGAUGUGAAAUCCCUGAGCUUAACUUAGGAAUUGCAUUCGAUACUGGGAAGCUAGAGUAUGGGAGAGGAUGGUAGAAUUCCAGGUGUAGCGGUGAAAUGCGUAGAGAUCUGGAGGAAUACCGAUGGCGAAGGCAGCCAUCUGGCCUAAUACUGACGCUGAGGUACGAAAGCAUGGGGAGCAAACAGGAUUAGAUACCCCUGUAGUCCCUGUCUCUUAUAA